RNAcentral lists this ribosomal RNA (172 nucleotides) under uncultured rumen bacterium. RNAcentral's name for it is "partial 16S ribosomal RNA". It matches the Rfam family "Bacterial small subunit ribosomal RNA", at positions 340 to 524 of the family's 1533-position model. The record is from RNAcentral.
UACGGGAGGCAGCAGUGGGGGAAUAUUGCACAAUGGGCGAAAGCCUGAUGCAGCGACGCCGCGUGAACGAAGAAGNAUUUCGGNAUGUAAAGNUCUUAUCACNCAUGGGAAGAAAAAUGACGGUACCUGACUAAGAAGCUCCGGCUAAAUACGUGCCAGCAGCCGCGGUAAU